Molecule: ribosomal RNA, 582 nt
Filed under: uncultured Eustigmatophyceae
Lineage: Eukaryota; Eustigmatophyceae
Description: SSU rRNA
Rfam family: Eukaryotic small subunit ribosomal RNA
Source: RNAcentral
CGCGGUAAUUCCAGCUCCAAUAGCGUAUACUAAAGUGUUGCAGUUAAAAAGCUCGUAGUUGGAUUUCUGGCGGGGACGGCUGGUCGGUCUCGAAAGGGGCUGUACUGUUGUUGGUUCCCGUCAUCCUUGGGGAGAGCGGCUCUUACAUUAAGUUGUCGGCGUCGGGAUCCCUAUCUUUUACUGUGAAAAAAUUAGAGUGUUCAAAGCAGGCUUAGGCCCUGAAUACAUUAGCAUGGAAUAAUAAGAUACGACCUUGGUGGUCUAUUUUGUUGGUUUGCACGCCAAGGUAAUGAUUAAUAGGGAUAGUUGGGGGUAUUCUUAUUGUCUUGUCUGAGGUGAAAUUCUUGGAUUAAUGGAAGGCGAACUACUGCAAAAGCAUUUACCAAGGAUGUUUUCAUUAAUCAAGAACGAAAGUUAGGGGAUCGAAGAUGAUUAGAUACCAUCGUAGUCUUAACCAUAAACUAUGCCGACUAGGGAUCGGUGGGUGCAUUUUUAGGCCUCAUCGGCACCUUAUGAGAAAUCAAAGUCUUUGGGUUCCGGGGGGAGUAUGGUCGCAAGGCUGAAACUUAAAGAAAUUGACGG